GGAGGGGUAGCGAAGCCCGGUCAAACGCGCAGGACUCAAGAUCCCGUCCCUCAGGGGUUCGUGGGUUCAAAUCCCACCCCCUCCACCA
RNAcentral lists this transfer RNA (88 nucleotides) under Candidatus Nitrososphaera evergladensis SR1. RNAcentral describes it as "tRNA-Leu (CAA) (tRNA-Leu-CAA-1-1)". It matches the Rfam family "tRNA". Rfam says of the family: Transfer RNA (tRNA) molecules are approximately 80 nucleotides in length. Their secondary structure includes four short double-helical elements and three loops (D, anti-codon, and T loops). The record is from RNAcentral. Lineage: Archaea; Thermoproteati; Nitrososphaerota; Nitrososphaeria; Nitrososphaerales; Nitrososphaeraceae. RNAcentral also lists the same sequence under 1 other name.